RNAcentral lists this ribosomal RNA (492 nucleotides) under uncultured bacterium. RNAcentral's name for it is "partial 16S ribosomal RNA". It matches the Rfam family "Bacterial small subunit ribosomal RNA", at positions 29 to 507 of the family's 1533-position model. The record is from RNAcentral.
AGUGAACGCUGGCGGUAGGCCUAACACAUGCAAGUCGAACGGCAGCACAGUAAGAGCUUGCUCUUACGGGUGGCGAGUGGCGGACGGGUGAGGAAUACAUCGGAAUCUACUUUUUCGUGGGGGAUAACGUAGGGAAACUUACGCUAAUACCGCAUACGACCUACGGGUGGAAGCAGGGGAUCUUCGGACCUUGCGCGAUUGAAUGAGCCGAUGUCGGAUUAGCUAGUUGGCGGGGUAAAGGCCCACCAAGGCGACGAUCCGUAGCUGGUCUGAGAGGAUGAUCAGCCACACUGGAACUGAGACACGGUCCAGACUCCUACGGGAGGCAGCAGUGGGGAAUAUUGGACAAUGGGCGCAAGCCUGAUCCAGCCAUACCGCGUGGGUGAAGAAGGCCUUCGGGUUGUAAAGCCCUUUUGUUGGGAAAGAAAAGCAGCAGGUUAAUACCCCGCUGUUCUGACGGUACCCAAAGAAUAAACACCGGCUAACUUCGUG